This is a non-coding RNA of Cinara cedri, 399 nucleotides long. The record is from the annotation of a GenBank genome assembly. NCBI's taxonomy places the organism in Eukaryota, Metazoa, Arthropoda, Insecta, Hemiptera, Aphididae.
GACAGCCAAACAGAACGAUAGUAUGUGUUCGCAAAGUGGCAGUCGCUAUCGCUCUCGAAGUCUCAUAAUAGCAACUAUUGACUAUCGUGUACGCACGAUAACUUGACGGUUGCUUUCAUGACAGUUAAAUAGGCACUAUCGUACUGUUCCCACGACGGUAGUUCAUGAGAUGACAACUGUCACGGUAGAAACUAUCAGUUGGUUAACCAUGCUUUACACAAUGUUUUUUUUUUGCGUUAAACGGUGUAACUUACGUCCACAUGAUUUCGAAUUCCGAUCCCUAGAGAAUUGGUGGAAGUGAGCUCUAGUACAUACAGUACGUUUCCCUAAUAUAUAGUGACGGAUGAACUUUCGACGGAACCGAGAGGUUUCAGAAAAUGCGUCGACAUAAUAAUAUUG